Molecule: long non-coding RNA, 1959 nt
Organism: Macadamia integrifolia
Lineage: Eukaryota; Viridiplantae; Streptophyta; Magnoliopsida; Proteales; Proteaceae
Exons: 2
Source: RefSeq, a predicted model, not a curated record
UAAGUUCCUCCACUCUGACUCGACAGAUAUAGAGACCCUACUUUCAAAUGCUUCUCUGUUUCGAACUUGAAGAAGGUCACGGCUGAAAUUUGCAAGAGCUAGGAGAAGGGCGGGCAAUGGGGGUACUUGGUUGUGGGUCAAGCUUGUUGCCACAUUGGGUUGAUGGAAGAUGCAAUGGUGCUCUUUCAAAUAGGAAAAUGUCUAGCUUCGGCAGCGUUCAGCCACCAAUGACGGGAUUUGGGGAGAAGAGGAUUUUCCCAUUAAAACUGCUCGGGUUUGGGUCGAAACCCUCUCAUGGAUGGGUUUUUUGGUGAGAAGAUAUGGACCGUUGGAUCAUCCAAGUACGCAAUAUCACAUGUGCAUGCCCUAUUUGCAUAUUUUGAGCCAUGCCCGAGGAACCAUAUCCAUCCUGAUUGACUGGGCUGAUUGGCUGAAGCUGUGGAAUGCUGAUUAAUGUUUCACUAUGGUAUCUAGAACAGCCAAUGAGUUCAGAUACAGGUCAGAGUUUCACCUGAAUAUCUUGCAGAGGUCCGAUCAUUUCUAUGCGGGAAAGACGAAGCCUUACACGAUUUUCUCCAGGAAACAAAUCCAGCCUUAGAAGGAAAAAAAAAAAGGAGAGGGAUCGGUAUGCUAGCGUAGUACUUAGGAAUUAGGAAUACUAGCGGGAUUUUGAUCGUAGGAUUUGAUCAAUUUGAAUUAAACAGUUAGAUGGAAAGAAGACAUACAAAUUUUCAAUCCAUGGUUGCUACACCUUUCCUCUUUCUCCUUCUCUCUCUUCUUGUCGGAAAGUGAUUCCUUUUACCAGAUCUAGUUGGAGAAAGCGAACUCCGGUCAUGGAUCCAUCUCCGAUGAGCUUUCCAAUCCUCUCCUAUGCCAUGUCCCGGAUCACCCUUGGCCGCUCAAUUCCCUUAUCUGGCAUCGGCACCGACACCAAGGCACUGGCACUGACACCAGUUCCGACUCCAUGCAUGUUGAUAUCGAACAACCACUGCCGCCGUUGAUGGAGCAGAUGCCCAUUCUGAAAGACCCAGCGCUCCUGGCCACCAUGACCAAGGUAGUCAUCGACGUUGCCCAUACCCAAUUAGUCCGCGGUCACCGGAAUGAUUCCAGCAUUGGAAAUCGUUUCCAAAGACCCCCCCAAUCCGACUUCAUCAAUCACUAGUCUGUUCUCGUGCUCCUGUUUCCUCUCAUAAAACUGAUUUCCAACAAAAUCAAACAUAAGCGUGAUCAGUGAAGCAAUCAUGGCGAUGAACCCAAAGAAGGGGAAUUUUAACCAUGGAUUUUUAGGCAAGCAAGGGUCGGAUUUAUUAGCCGUCUCUUUGUUCGGAGGGUUUACUAUGAGCAACAAUUCCAUCAGCAAUUUCAAGCGCAAUGGUUCCCAGAGAGAUUGUAGCAAUGGUGGUUAUAGUAGCGGUUCCCGCUGAGGCUUCUAGGGGAAUGGUUUCAGCGGUGGUUUCCGGAGGAGUCAUUUCGACAACAGUGGUUUCCAGAGGAGUGACUUUGACGGCGGUGGUUUCUAGGGGAGUGAUUUCAACGACCGUAGUUUCUGGGGGAGUGAUUUCUUCUGCGGUGGUUUCCGAAGGAGUAAUUUCAAAGACAGUGUCGGCCCGGAGGUGGUUGCAACUGGAGUUUUAGAGGAGGUGAUUUCAACGGCGUGAUCAACAAAGCCAUCAUGGCAAGGAACACAGAGAAGGGGUCAUGGUCAGAAUUGCAAUAUGGCCUUUGCCAUUUCCGACGAUAAACCAACUGCUGGACUGAAGCUUGGUAGACUCCCUGUGACCGAAACUUUUGGAGCCUCUGCCGGUGUUGCAAGAAUGUUUGAACUUGCCAGCGGCGGUGAUGCGACACACUUGCCGGAGAAAGGGUCGUGGUUGAGGGAGUAGUACCAUGAAACAACAAUAUUGGAUAGGUUUUGUAAGACCUCGCCACAUGAAAGAAUGAGAUUUCUUAUGUUUCAUC